RNAcentral lists this transfer RNA (78 nucleotides) under Marmota marmota marmota (Alpine marmot). It matches the Rfam family "tRNA". From Rfam's summary of the family: Transfer RNA (tRNA) molecules are approximately 80 nucleotides in length. Lineage: Eukaryota; Metazoa; Chordata; Mammalia; Rodentia; Sciuridae. RNAcentral also lists the same sequence under 1 other name. The record is from Rfam by way of RNAcentral.
GGGGGUGUAGCUCCGUGGUAGAGCAUUUAGUUAGCAUGGACAAUGGACAAAGUCCAGGGUUCCAUCCCAGCACCACCA